CAGUAGCCGCGGGAAUACGAACCGUGCGAACGUUAUUCGGAAUUACUGGGCUUAAAGCGCGUGUAGGCGGGCCGCCACGUCGGUUGCUGAAAUCCCCCGGCUCAACCGGGGAAGUGGCAUCGAUACGAGCGGCCUUGAGGGGGGUAGGGGGAUCUGGAACUUCCGGUGGAGCGGUGAAAUGCGUUGAGAUCGGAAGGAACGCCCGUGGCGAAGGCGAGGUCCUGGACCCUUUCUGACGCUGAGACGCGAAAGCCAGGGGAGCGAACGGGAUUAGAUACCCGCGUAGUCCCUGUCUCUUAUA
RNAcentral lists this ribosomal RNA (301 nucleotides) under uncultured bacterium. Its description in RNAcentral is "partial 16S ribosomal RNA". It matches the Rfam family "Bacterial small subunit ribosomal RNA", at positions 509 to 807 of the family's 1533-position model. The record is from RNAcentral.